CGGUACAAUUCGGGUAGGCUGCUCGGUUCUCACCGCGCAGUUAGACGCAACCCUGACGCAACCUUAAACUUGGGAUAAGAGGGAUCUAUGAGUUCUUCAUAAAUUCUCUCUUUCUCAUCGAAACUGUUAAGGUUUAAUUGUUUCGUACAGUUAAAACAACGAAACUUUGUCUGGUUGCCUACCCCCCCAUUUUUUUAAUUUACAAUAUAAAAAUAAAUUUAUCAUUUCAGAUUGAUACUCUAAAUAAAAAUUUU
RNAcentral lists this non-coding RNA (254 nucleotides) under Polistes dominula (European paper wasp). The record is from RNAcentral. Lineage: Eukaryota; Metazoa; Arthropoda; Insecta; Hymenoptera; Vespidae.